GCAGUCGUGGCCUACUGGUUAGGGCUUCGGGCUUGUAACCGCGGGGUUGCCGGUUCGAUCCCCGACCAGUAGGA
RNAcentral lists this transfer RNA (74 nucleotides) under Alosa alosa (allis shad). RNAcentral's name for it is "tRNA-OTHER". Lineage: Eukaryota; Metazoa; Chordata; Actinopteri; Clupeiformes; Clupeidae. The record is from RNAcentral.